GAUGAGCCCUAUAUCUUCAGGGGCCCGGUCAGCGCUGCAGCCGUGUAAUUGUGCGACCGGGCCCCUUUAAAAAAAAUUGCGGCUACAAGUCCUGCUGGGAGGAAAUGACGGCCAGUCACUUCCUCCCAGCUUACUCCGCGCGGGAUGAGAGGGAGAGCAGAGGAGAGGUACAGGAGAGGCAUCCGCUCCCAUCUGCAACUUAAAG
Pelobates cultripes (western spadefoot toad) is the source of this 205-nucleotide non-coding RNA. NCBI's taxonomy places the organism in Eukaryota, Metazoa, Chordata, Amphibia, Anura, Pelobatidae. The record is from the annotation of a GenBank genome assembly.